Molecule: ribosomal RNA, 253 nt
Filed under: uncultured bacterium
Lineage: Bacteria
Description: partial 16S ribosomal RNA
Rfam family: Bacterial small subunit ribosomal RNA
Source: RNAcentral
UACGUAGGGUGCGAGCGUUGUCCGGAUUUAUUGGGCGUAAAGGGCGCGUAGGCGGGUUCCCAAGUCGGUGGUGAAAUCUUUCGGCCCAACCGGAAAAGUGCCGCCGAUACUGGGAGUCUCGAGGGAGGUAGGGGUCGAUGGAACUUCCGGUGGAGCGGUGAAAUGCGUAGAUAUCGGAAGGAACGCCGGUGGCGAAAGCGAUCGACUGGACCUCUUCUGACGCUGAGGCGCGAAAGCCAGGGGAGCAAACGGG